GACAGAGGGUGCAAACGUUGUUCGGAAUUACUGGGCGUAAAGCGAGUGUAGGCGGUCUGAAAAGUCGGGUGUGAAAGCCCCGGGCCCAACCCGGGAAGUGCACUCGAAACUGCCAGGCUAGAGUAUCGGAGAGGUUGGUGGAAUUCUCGGUGUAGAGGUGAAAUUCGUAGAUAUCGAGAGGAACACCGGUGGCGAAGGCGGCCAACUGGACGAAUACUGACGCUGAGACUCGAAAGCGUGGGGAGCAAACAGG
RNAcentral lists this ribosomal RNA (253 nucleotides) under uncultured bacterium. Its description in RNAcentral is "partial 16S ribosomal RNA". It matches the Rfam family "Bacterial small subunit ribosomal RNA", at positions 524 to 776 of the family's 1533-position model. The record is from RNAcentral.